AUUGAACGCUGGCGGCAGGCCUAACACAUGCAAGUCGAACGAGCGGCGGACGGGUGAGUAAUGUCUGGGAAACUGCCCGAUGGAGGGGGAUAACUACUUGAAACGGUGGCUAAUACCGCAUACCAUCAGAUGUGCCAAUAUGGGAUUAGCUAGUAGGUGGGGUAACGGCUCACCUAGGCGACGAUCGCGCGCUGGGCUGAGAGGAUGACCAGCCACACGGGAACGGAGACACGGCCCAGACUCCUACGGGAGGCAGCAGUGGGGAAUAUUGCACAAUGGGCGCAAGCCUGAUGCAGCCAGGCCGCGUGUAUGAAGAAGGCCGUCGGGUGGUAAAGUACUUUCAGCUGGGAGGCGUUACCCGCAGAAGAAGCACCGGCUAACUCCGUGCCAGCAGCCGCGGUAAUUC
This 406-nucleotide ribosomal RNA is filed under the name uncultured bacterium. Its description in RNAcentral is "partial 16S ribosomal RNA". It matches the Rfam family "Bacterial small subunit ribosomal RNA", at positions 29 to 526 of the family's 1533-position model. The record is from RNAcentral.